Molecule: ribosomal RNA, 433 nt
Filed under: uncultured bacterium
Lineage: Bacteria
Description: partial 16S ribosomal RNA
Rfam family: Bacterial small subunit ribosomal RNA
Source: RNAcentral
AAAGAAGGUGGGGGGCAUGCCUAACACAUGCAAGUCGAACGAGACCUUCGGGUCUAGUGGCGCACGGGUGCGUAACGCGUGGGAACCUGCCCUUAGGUUCGGAAUAACUCCCCGAAAGGGGUGCUAAUACCGGAUAAUGUCUUCGGACCAAAGAUUUAUCGCCUUUGGAUGGGCCCGCGUUGGAUUAGCUAGUUGGUAGGGUAAAAGCCCACCAAGGCGACGAUCCAUAGCUGGUCUGAGAGGAUGAUCAGCCACACUGGGACUGAGACACGGCCCAGACUCCUACGGGAGGCAGCAGUGGGGAAUAUGAGACAAUGGGCGAAAGCCUGAUCCAGCGAUGCCGCGUAAGUGAUGAAGGCCUUAGAGUUGUAAAGCUCUUUUACCCGUGAUGAUAAUGACAGUACCGGGAGAAUAAGCACCGGCUAACUCCGUG